Molecule: ribosomal RNA, 253 nt
Filed under: uncultured bacterium
Lineage: Bacteria
Description: partial 16S ribosomal RNA
Rfam family: Bacterial small subunit ribosomal RNA
Source: RNAcentral
UACGAAGGGGGCUAGCGUUGCUCGGAAUCACUGGGCGUAAAGGGUGCGUAGGCGGGUCUUUAAGUCAGGGGUGAAAUCCCGGGGCUCAACCUCGGAACUGCCUUUGAUACUGCGAAUCUUGAGUCCGAUAGAGGUGGGUGGAAUUCCUAGUGUAGAGGUGAAAUUCGUAGAUAUUAGGAAGAACACCAGUGGCGAAGGCGGCCCACUGGAUCGGUACUGACGCUGAGGUGCGAAAGCGUGGGGAGCAAACAGG